GGAUAUAGCUCAGUGGUAGAGUGCGUGCUUAGCAUGCAUGAGGUCCUGGGCUCAAUCCCCAGUACUUCCA
Molecule: transfer RNA, 70 nt
Filed under: Camelus bactrianus (Bactrian camel)
Lineage: Eukaryota; Metazoa; Chordata; Mammalia; Artiodactyla; Camelidae
Also listed under: 2 other names
Rfam family: tRNA
About the family: Transfer RNA (tRNA) molecules are approximately 80 nucleotides in length. Their secondary structure includes four short double-helical elements and three loops (D, anti-codon, and T loops). Further hydrogen bonds mediate the characteristic L-shaped molecular structure. tRNAs have two regions of fundamental functional importance: the anti-codon, which is responsible for specific mRNA codon recognition, and the 3' end, to which the tRNAs corresponding amino acid is attached (by aminoacyl-tRNA synthetases). tRNAs cope with the degeneracy of the genetic code in two manners: having more than one tRNA (with a specific anti-codon) for a particular amino acid; and 'wobble' base-pairing, i.e. permitting non-standard base-pairing at the 3rd anti-codon position.
Source: Rfam by way of RNAcentral